GUGUUGUAUGAAAGGAGAGAAGUUAGCACUCCCCUCCACAAGGAUGGAAGAGGCCCUUGGGCCUGACAACACACACACGGUUAAAGCGCUGCCACUUACUUUGUGGCAUCUAACCAUCAUCGUUU
This 125-nucleotide non-coding RNA is filed under the name Aotus nancymaae (Ma's night monkey). The record is from RNAcentral. Lineage: Eukaryota; Metazoa; Chordata; Mammalia; Primates; Aotidae.